CCUCUUCCCUCUAUAGCAAUCUUUCUCUCUUAUCUCAUGAUUAAGAGAACUAAAAGAGAACCAUUCACCACCUCCAUUAAUAACCACAAACAACCCUCUUAAAUCAACCUUGGUAGCUUGAAAACGAAACGAUUUAAGGGCUGUAGAAAGUUGAUGGGUUCAAGGUUGCGAGAGCUGUUCAAGUAGGCUAAUGCGGGUGGCUACAUAUAUAAAGAUCGAAAGUGGCCUUGUUGUGGUUCUUAGUUACGUUUUGUUGGGUUGUCUUACUGCUGAUCUUCAAGCAAUGGAGAGGUUAACUUCUAGCUCAUUUGGAGACCAUUCUCAGAUCUCACGAGUGUGUUUCGAGUUCCUUUUCUUGGGUCAUUAAGCUACGGUGUUUCAAAACUCUCAUAGCUCAAAAAUACUAGCUAAAAGAUACAUGGUUGCUUUGGCUUUCUAGAAAUUCCUUCCAUUCAUGGUUUGGAGUUUUGAAAAUACAAGUGUUUUACAAACCAGGAGCUUGGUUGCUUUCUUGGGUCACUAUAUAUAUAAUGCAACUAAAGCUUAAGGGUUAAAACUAUGGGGUUAAUCUUAUUGUGACACCAUUAGUUUGGACUACCUUUUCUUACUCGACACUCUCUCGUAUCAAUUACCAAAGCGAGUCUCGUAGCCCCUAUUUAAAAAUAUUUUAUAUUUUGGGGUAAGAAUACACUGCUCAAUUUUAUGGACACGAGUAUUGUUAAUAGUUUGUGUAUAGCUAUGUAUACGAUCACUCAUGAAAUCCCCUUGUUAACUUGAGUCGUGAAACAAACGCGCAAAUAUUAUGGAUAGUACUAUCGAGGUUGACACCCCUGUCCGGGCUAGUCAUGCUAGCUGGGUUAAAUGGGCAUAUAAUAUUUGAAACUACAGUGUUGGAGUGAAACACUACUGAAGGGGUAGCAAUGGUUAAGGCAUCGAUACUCAAGGCAUAACAUACGAAACUAUUGGUCUUUUUAUAUAUGUUAUGGAAACUAAGGUAGAUCGAUGGAGAUACUCUAAGAGUCACAUAUGCAUUCACUAAAGAACGGAUAUUUUGAAGCGCAUUUUCAUUAAAAUAAUCAUGUUGUAAAAUCUCUAGAAUAAAUUUUGUACACUUCAUGUAAGAUCCUGGUUUUUAUAUCAAUAAUAUUUUAAAAUGUCUCAUUUA
Erigeron canadensis is the source of this 1165-nucleotide long non-coding RNA. RefSeq lists it as uncharacterized. The transcript is spliced from 2 exons. Lineage: Eukaryota; Viridiplantae; Streptophyta; Magnoliopsida; Asterales; Asteraceae. The record is from RefSeq and is a predicted model, not a curated record.